AAGAGACAGCAGUAGCCACGGUAAUACAGAGGGUGCGAGCGUUAAUCGGAUUUACUGGGCGUAAAGCGCACGCAGGCGGUCUGACAAGUCAGAUGUGAAAUCCCCGGGCUUAACCUGGGAACUGCAUUUGAAACUGUCAGGCUGGAGUCUUGUAGAGGGGGGUAGAAUUCCAGGUGUAGCGGUGAAAUGCGUAGAGAUCUGGAGGAAUACCGGUGGCGAAGGCGGCCCCCUGGACAAAGACUGACGCUCAGGUGCGAAAGCGUGGGGAGCAAACAGGAUUAGAUACCCCUGUAGUCCCUGUCUCUUAUAC
RNAcentral lists this ribosomal RNA (310 nucleotides) under uncultured bacterium. RNAcentral describes it as "partial 16S ribosomal RNA". It matches the Rfam family "Bacterial small subunit ribosomal RNA", at positions 503 to 807 of the family's 1533-position model. The record is from RNAcentral.